Molecule: long non-coding RNA, 1858 nt
Filed under: Homo sapiens (human)
Lineage: Eukaryota; Metazoa; Chordata; Mammalia; Primates; Hominidae
Description: HSALNT0213950
Source: RNAcentral
AAGGCAGGUUGAACACCGCUCUGGAAGCCCACAGUCCAGAGGCACGAUGCCAGCACUCAAGUGAUCAUGUGAGCCAACAUAAACACAGAAUUACAAACUUUAUAACACUUAAGUGUUACAAGUGGCAGGUGUUAAACAGGAAUAGCACAGCUAUGAAAAAAUGCAAUAUAAGGAACUGAUUAAACUAUGAUGUAGUAAGCGCAGGGCAACAUGAAAACAUACUGGCCUUUCAUCGAGGAGUAAAAUAGAGAGACUAUGUGAUUACUUUAUCAAUUAGGGGUGUUUUGCUAACUUGUUUUGGAUAACCUUUUUAACCAAGGUUUCUCAACCUUGGCAAUAAUACUGACAUCUGGACUGGACAAUACUGACAAUUGGAUCCAACUGGACUGACAAUUGGAUCCAAUCCAAUACUGACAAUUGGACUGGAUCAUCUUUUGUUGUGGGGGCUGUCCUGUGAAUUGCAGGGUGUUUAGCACCAUGCCUAGCCUCCACCUUCUAGACGACAUUAGCACUCAGUUGUGACAACCAAGAAUAUCUCCAGACAUUGCCUAAUGUCUCUUGCGGAAAUCUCCUCUAACAAAUUGUGAAUCAAUGGGCUAAAAUAGCAAAAAAUAAAACUUACAAUGGCUGGUACCACUAGAAUCUAUUUUGCUCACAGAAGAAGAGGCUGCUUCUUCUAUUGGUUCAUUAAGGACUCUAAGAUUCUCUUGCAUUUUCUCAUUCUUAUGCUUAACGUCAAGCAUUAUGUCCACAUCUGAGGAAAAGAAAAAAGAAAAAGAAGGUAAGGAACAGUGAAGCUCUACCUGUCCCUUACCAGGAAAACCAACAUUUUCCCUUGCCUUGCACAUCAGCCUAAUUUUGUUAAGCUCUUACGAGUGGGAACUGUGUUUUAUAGCCAUUCCUAGUUCCUAGAGAAGCUGACUCUCUUUCCCAUGUCUCUGUCAUGGAUGGAGAACAGAAAAAAGGGAUAUUUUUGGAAUGGAUAUUGUGUUACUGACCAAGUGCCAGCCAUGCUUUCUAAUAACUUCUAAACAUUUCUCUUAUAAAAUAUUUACUUUUAAUUAUGGAUUUGCCUUUUUUCCACAAUAUAUUUAUGUUCUUAUUCUCAAAUCCACUAUAUAAAUAAUAUAUUUUAAGUAUCUAGUUUUAAUUGUAAUAAUUUAACGUCAGUGGAUAGAAGAUGUCAUUUGACUCUAUACUUACAUAUUGUAUAUACCCACAUAUAUAUAUAUAUAUAAUAUGUAUGCGUGUACUCUUAUUCAGGUGAUAUUCUUCAACCACCCCGUUCAUCUUCAUCAAAGAAAGAUGAAUCGCCAUCAUUCUUUUGCCAUGUUCAUUUUUACCACUUAUUCUAUGCUUAUCAUUUUGACAUCACAGGGAUAUACAUUAUAUUUUUUCUUAUUACCAAGUUUUUAAGCACUUAACUACAAAAUGUCUUCUCAUAUAUUGAAGUUUAUGACAUGUCUCAUAGUAAGAAAUCAGUAUUGUUUGUGGAAUAAAUAAAUAAAUGGAAUAGGCUAGUAUGGUUGACUGAUAAUUAUAGUGAAAUCUUUGUUAAAAUGUCGUUAUUCUUUUAAGAUGUGCACGGCACCACAGUGUUGAAUCCUAAUGGUACCAUCUCAUAUCAUCAAAAGCUUUUUGUAGCCCAUCCAAUCAUAAAAUAAUACCAAGUUCAAAAAAAAAAAGAAACAAAGUUACAUGUGGAUAGAGAAUGUGCUAUAAUGCAUUAGUGCCUUCUCAAUUAAAAAAGGAGAUCAGUAAAUACGCAAACACCACUCACACCAGAAGGUAACAUUUCUGUCAAAUAAAGCAGCCACUUAGAGUGGAUAUAAAAGAUUAAUGCUUUCACCAGCCUUCA